Molecule: ribosomal RNA, 443 nt
Filed under: uncultured bacterium
Lineage: Bacteria
Description: partial 16S ribosomal RNA
Rfam family: Bacterial small subunit ribosomal RNA
Source: RNAcentral
CCUACGGGAGGCAGCAGUGGGGAAUAUUGGGCAAUGGAGGCAACUCUGACCCAGCAACGCCGCGUGAAUGAUGAAGGUCUUCGGAUUGUAAAGUUCUGUGAUGGGGGAUGAACACAAUGACGGUACCCCAAUAGCAAGCCACGGCUAACUACGUGCCAGCAGCCGCGGUAAUACGUAGGUGGCAAGCGUUAUCCGGAAUGACUGGGCGUAAAGGGUGCGUAGGUGGUUUAGUAAGUUGGCGGUGUAAUUCCGGGGCUCAACCUCGGCGCUACCGCCAAAACUAUUAGACUAGAGUGCAGGAGGGGUAAGUGGAAUUCCUGGUGUAGCGGUGGAAUGCGUAGAGAUUAGGAGGAACAUCAGGGGCGAAGGCGACUUACUGGACUGUAACUGACACUGAGGCACGAAAGCGUGGGGAGCAAACAGGAGUAGAUACCCCGGUAGUC